Glycine soja is the source of this 2894-nucleotide long non-coding RNA. RefSeq lists it as uncharacterized. The record is from RefSeq and is a predicted model, not a curated record. Lineage: Eukaryota; Viridiplantae; Streptophyta; Magnoliopsida; Fabales; Fabaceae. The transcript has 2 exons.
CUCACUAUCACCACAAUUGAGGCCACUAUAUUAGAAUAUAUCAUAGGGUUUUAAUUUUUUUCAACCAAAAGUUCAUGAAUGUAAGAGUUUUAAACUUGAUGAUUAGUUUACAAUGUUAACAGAGACAUUUGAUAGUUAUGCAAUUGGUGACUCCAAUUGAAUUUUCUCCUUUUAUAAGCCUAGCUGAAAUUUAUAUAUAUCUUAUCUCUUACUUUUCUGCUUUAAUAAUGAAAUUCAAUUUGUGACCCUUAUUCUCCUAAAUGCGAUUGAUGAUGAUUGGGGAUAAAAUAUAAAAGGUAGAAAAUGAGAAAUUAAAAAGAGAAAGAUAGCAGGAACAUCUUCCAAAAAUGAAAACAAUCAUGAUAAAGGGUUAUCCAUAGAGUAUAAGGACCUAGAAAAAAGGUCUAGAGUCAAUCUUCUACAAGAAGAGAUGGUUAAGAGAAUUAAGGAUGGACUACUCAUCAAAGACAACGAAGAAGAAAAUCACAAGGAGCUGAAUUGGAGCACGUUAAAGAUUGUUGAACAAUAUGCUUGGGCUUAGCGCGAGUUGUCUAGCUUAGCGCGCACUGUUGAGCUUAGCAUGGGCUGUCUGACUUAGCCCAAUUCCAAUCCGAGAAGAAAUUGAGCUUAGCGCGAGCUGUCAGUUUAGUCCACACCUUUAGCGUGAAUUUACGAAAACUCCUAAUUUUAGUUUAUUUGUGUAAUUGGCUUGCGCAUGAUGUAAAUAGGCCUUCUUAGAGGCUUAGUUAUCUUCUUAAGUCUAGUUCUAUAAAUAUUUAGAAACUCUUAAUUGUAAAAACUUUUGAUAUAAUUGCAAUUAAGCUUAUACUUAAAGAGAGCUUAGCCUCUUCUUUGGUUUUUGAUUGAAAACCAAAUUGAUUCUUAUCAAAGAAGCUAUUCCUUUGUGGCAAAUCCUCCUUCGGCUUAUCAACUCACCGUGGAAUGUGGUGUCAUUUUGUUCAUCUUCUUCAUCAUAUCCAUAUUUUCUGUUUUUCUGUUCUUGAGUUCUUAGAAGGUCAUACAAUGGUGAUUCUUGAAUUUGCAUUCGAAACAAUCCGAACCAAGCGUCCAUGGCUUGGAUUGCAUCAAAUCAUAAAGCCCCCUUUUACGGUUCGUGAUCCAUUAAGUAAGAGUCAACCAUUUAGUUCAUGAUGUGUUGACAUGUGAGAGAGGAAAGAAUUUUUUUAAAAAUGACAUUUAAUUACUAUAAUGACCCUUAAUGAAUGAAUUAAAUUAAAAGAGAUGACUUGGUUUUUUGUUCUAAGAUUUUGGUGUAGGUUCCUAACGUGCGACCCUAUGGUUUUCAUAAUGUUUAAUUAAGUGAUUUUAGUUAAAUUAUAAGAAAAAUUAAAUUAAAUUUAAGUGUCCAUAAUUAAUUAAUUAAUUUAUGAGAUGAUGGUUUGUUAUGUUUAUGCUUAUGUAUAUGUCAUAUUACAUGUGUUUUUAUGAGAUUUAAUUUAGAGUAUUUGAACUUAAGUGGAUGGACCUUAAGUCAUGAAAAACAUGUGAGUGGGUUUAGUGAAGUAUAGGGUGUGAAGAAAAGGAAGUGAGAGAGUCAUAAAUCCAUUGUAAAUCUAAACCAAACUCUAGACACUCUCAUUUUGCUCUCUUUUUCCUCCCUAAGCAAAACCCUCCAUUAGAGAGCUUGAUACUUUUAUCUCCCUUGCUCAAAGGACCUUAUUGUUGUGCUUCUUUCAAGUUGUGGGCUGAUUUCAGUGAUAAGGAACCUUCAUCUUUCAACUCUUAUCUUCCAUUUUUGUUUUCCUUUGAUGAGCAUCUUUGGGAGCUCAUAAAAAUGUUCACAUGAGGUUUUGGUGUUGAGUCUACUUGUUUUUAGGGUUUGCGUGUUGUUGCUUGGUGUGUUUGUGUUGUUGUUAGGGUGGAGGAAAGUCCUCUUCUUGGACCCAAAAUCCUCUUCUUUUCACUUGCUUCUCAAAGUUAAAUCCUUGGUUAGUAGAGAUAAGGGAUGUUUUACUUUGAUUGAAUGUUUUGUUGGAGUAGUUGAUGCUUGAAAUGUUGUUUUUGAGUGUGGAAUGAUUUUAUGUAUGAUAUAUGAUGUCUAAUCGGAAUUAGUUUGAUUUAAAAGGUCUUAUUCAAGAAAUUCAAAGUUCUACAAAUGCUUGAGCUUAAGCCAAGAGUGAAUGUCUUCAAAGAAUAUGGUUGGUUGGAUUCCAGGCUUAAACCACCACAAGAAAUUAAGUAAAUUGCAACACUUAAUUUGCAGCAGUUCUUUUAAAAUUGUCAUCAGUGUUUGUUCGCGGCAGUUUGAUGAAACAAUUACAAUUUUAAGGCCAAUUAUGUUUUGAACCGCCGCAACUAAUAGCAUUUACAUGCUCUUUGAGUUUAUUUUGUGAAACAUUUUAUCUCAUGAGGCUUACCAAUUCAAAAUGUGUUAUGUUUGUUAUUCUACUUUAGGACUCAGGAUCACCGUUGGAUGUAGGGCUUCUUGAGCACUUUAGUUCCCAUGGUGGGUGUGCCGCUGGCCACUUUGAUCUCUUUCUCAACUUGUAAAAUUUUUUCAUCUUCUUUCUUCUUCCAACCCUGAGCCACCACCAACACUCCUUACAAGAACCCCUCAAGCAUUUUGGACGUUCAUCAUCAUGCUAUGUUGUUACAUUCUAGAAUUGUGGGUUGUUGUCAUGUGCGGGUAAGAGUAGGUUUGCUAGGUGUUCUGCCAUAAUUAAGAUGCAUAUUCACAAUGAGUAUGCACUAAUUCAUUAUAAGAUUUUGUUGAUGUUACCUAAUUUCAGCCUUUAAUUCAAUUUUAGGAUUCUAUCCCAUAUUCACAAUUACGGGUUAGAGUAGGUCUGUUAGAAUUCUCUAUUUUCAUAAAUUAACUUAAGUGGAAGAAUUGUAUUACUACCUGGUUUUAGCUUUGGACAAGCUUUUCAUUA